This 253-nucleotide ribosomal RNA is filed under the name uncultured bacterium. RNAcentral's name for it is "partial 16S ribosomal RNA". It matches the Rfam family "Bacterial small subunit ribosomal RNA", at positions 524 to 776 of the family's 1533-position model. The record is from RNAcentral.
UACGGAGGGUGCGAGCGUUGUCCGGAUUCAUUGGGCGUAAAGGGUGCGUAGGUGGCGCCGUAAGUCAGGUGUGAAAUCUCGGGGCUUAACUCCGAAACUGCAUUUGAUACUGCGGUGCUUGAGGACUGGAGAGGAGACUGGAAUUUACGGUGUAGCAGUGAAAUGCGUAGAGAUCGUAAGGAAGACCAGUGGCGAAGGCGGGUCUCUGGACAGUUCCUGACACUGAGGCACGAAGGCCAGGGGAGCAAACGGG